Molecule: ribosomal RNA, 253 nt
Filed under: uncultured bacterium
Lineage: Bacteria
Description: partial 16S ribosomal RNA
Rfam family: Bacterial small subunit ribosomal RNA
Source: RNAcentral
UACGGGGGGGGCAAGCGUUGUUCGGAAUUACUGGGCGUAAAGGGCGCGUAGGCGGCCUGCUAAGUCGGAUGUGAAAUCCCUCGGCUCAACCGAGGAACUGCAUCCGAUACUGGCGGGCUUGAAUCCGGGAGAGGGAUGUGGAAUUCCAGGUGUAGCGGUGAAAUGCUUAGAUAUCGUCAAGAACACCGAUAGUGUAGACAGCUUACUAGGCUACAACUGACGCUGAGGCACGAAAGUGUGGGGAUCAAACAGG